Molecule: ribosomal RNA, 496 nt
Filed under: uncultured bacterium
Lineage: Bacteria
Description: partial 16S ribosomal RNA
Rfam family: Bacterial small subunit ribosomal RNA
Source: RNAcentral
AUGCACGCUGGCGGCGUGCCUAAUACAUGCAAGUCGAGCGAACAGACGAGGAGCUUGCUCCUCUGACGUUAGCGGCGGACGGGUGAGUAACACGUGGAUAACCUACCUAUAAGACUGGGAUAACUUCGGGAAACCGGAGCUAAUACCGGAUAAUAUAUUGAACCGCAUGGUUCAACAGUGAAAGACGGUUUUGCUGUCACUUAUAGAUGGAUCCGCGCCGCAUUAGCUAGUUGGUAAGGUAACGGCUUACCAAGGCAACGAUGCGUAGCCGACCUGAGAGGGUGAUCGGCCACACUGGAACUGAGACACGGUCCAGACUCCUACGGGAGGCAGCAGUAGGGAAUCUUCCGCAAUGGGCGAAAGCUUGACGGAGCAACGCCGCGUGAGUGAUGAAGGUCUUCGGAUCGUAAAACUCUGUUAUUAGGGAAGAACAAAUGUGUAAGUAACUAUGCACGUCUUGACGGUACCUAAUCAGAAAGCCACGGCUAACUACGUG